RNAcentral lists this RNase P RNA (340 nucleotides) under bovine gut metagenome. RNAcentral describes it as "Bacterial RNase P class A". It matches the Rfam family "Bacterial RNase P class A". Rfam says of the family: Ribonuclease P (RNase P) is a ubiquitous endoribonuclease, found in archaea, bacteria and eukarya as well as chloroplasts and mitochondria. The record is from RNAcentral.
AGCGGGCUGUGCGGUUGCGGGGAAGAAUAUUCUCUGAGGAAAGUCCGGGCUUCAAGCGGCAAGGGCGCCGGCUAACUACCGGUGAAGGCGACUUCAAGGAAAGUGCAACAGAAAUAAACCGCAGUCUUUUAGGCUGUAAGGAUGGAAAGGGGAGGUAAGGGCUCACCGAUCGCGCGGUAACGCGCGGUGCCAUGUAAACCCCGCCCGAAGCAAGAUUUAACCGAUGGAAUCCGCCGCAUUUGAAAUCGGUAUAAGUAUACAUCGCUCGAGCAUUCCGGCAACGGUCUGCCAAGAUAGAUAACCGCAUUAAACGACAGAACCCGGCUUAUAGGCCCGCCUU